UGCUUCCCAUAUCCAAGCCAUCCACAAAACCUGGAUUCCUUUAAUUAUAAGCUUCUCAAAGUAAUGUAAAAUACUAAAAAUCAUCUUCCGAAAUUGAUCAAUAUUCAAUUUAAUAAACAAGUAUUGUAAUACCUGCCGCUAAAGCCACUAUGUUUUUCAGGGUGCCACAAAGUUCUACUCCUUCCACAUCUUGAACCUGUCAGAAAAUUUCAACAUUGAAUGGAAGUAACCGAAUUCAAACUGUAUUCCCCUGGUGAGUUUUUGCUUUCCAACUGUAUCUUUCAAUGUAAUUUGGAAAUAUCUUCUCUGUUUCCUUUUCAAUUUAUUCAUUCAAAUAUUUAAUGUAUGCUCAAGAAAAACUCACGGCGGAUACUAUAAAAUAGUCAGUUGUGAACAGUUCAACCCAUCUACGAGCAACUUUUUUGUCCUGGUUAUACCCAAUUGUGGCUUCACUGAAUCUCUUCAUUCCAAUCUGCAUCACAUUAAUCGCAUUAUCCCAAAUAGAGACCAGUCUGUGGAGAAUUUAGAUAUAAAGGCAGUGUGUAUCUACCAUUCUACCUACCUCUUGAGCAAUAUUUGCACCCAUAAGAACACAGCAACUUGUCCCAAGCAUUUUGGUUAUGUACUUUGAAAUCAUGCUUGGUCCUUCAGUUUUUACCUCCAUUCCUUUGAUGAGGGAGAUGGCCUCCACGCCACUCCCUAUUUUCCCAACAAGCUUGCCACAUACAUCUUCAACAAACUGAUGUGGCACUACAAAAACCAACAUGUCUGCACCUUCCACUGUGGAACAAUCCAUGAAUAAAACAGUUGAUUUCGCAGAUUUUGAUAUUUGAAUUGAUAUGUAUGUAACAGUAGUACUUACCUGCAUGCUCAAGGUCAGGAUCAGCAAUGACAUCGCCCCCAAGCUUGAUGCCCGGAAGAUACCUUACAUUCUCCUGAUAAUCAAAAACCAAACAAAAAUUCCAUGGUAAAUUAGAUCAUAACAGCACUGCAUCAGUUUCAAUUCCAUGGUAAAUUCUUAUUACAUUUUUUGCAUUGAUGGUAUCUGUGAGCUUACUACCAUCUGGUAGAGUUUCUUCAUGCACCCACAUCCUUACUUCAUCUGUGAUCCCACAGUUUACUAAGAUUUAUUAACAGAAUUCUGUUUGAUAUUUUGUGAAAUAAAGUAGAAGAAAAGUAUAUAAAAUAAAGUUUGCUUGCAGGAAUCCAUCCUAGCUAGUAUCCUACCAUGGAAAGAGGGCAUUGUGAUGGUGUUAGAAGCAAUAAGCUUUGCAGCGACACUCCCCCAGUUACCACUUCCGAUGACUGCCACGCGA
RNAcentral lists this long non-coding RNA (1316 nucleotides) under Zostera marina. Its description in RNAcentral is "long non-coding RNA (ZMAR_LNC005827)". Lineage: Eukaryota; Viridiplantae; Streptophyta; Magnoliopsida; Alismatales; Zosteraceae. The record is from RNAcentral.